UACGAAGGGGGCUAGCGUUGUUCGUAAUUACUGGGCGUAAAGCGCACGUAGGCGGAUCGAUCAGUCAGGGGUGAAAUCCCAGGGCUCAACCCUGGAACUGCCUUUGAUACUGUCGAUCUGGAGUAUGGAAGAGGUGAGUGGAAUUCCGAGUGUAGAGGUGAAAUUCGUAGAUAUUCGGAGGAACACCAGUGGCGAAGGCGGCUCACUGGUCCAUUACUGACGCUGAGGUGCGAAAGCGUGGGGAGCAAACAGG
This 253-nucleotide ribosomal RNA is filed under the name uncultured bacterium. RNAcentral describes it as "partial 16S ribosomal RNA". It matches the Rfam family "Bacterial small subunit ribosomal RNA", at positions 524 to 776 of the family's 1533-position model. The record is from RNAcentral.